AUUCAAAAUUUGCUCGGCGCCCUCCUCUGCUCUCUAUCCUGUAGACCUGGUCCACCGCUCUGCACACUGACGCUCUCUCUGCUCUGCAGACCCUGCAGACCGUGUUGACUCGUCCUCUCUCUCCCCGUUCUCCGUUCCGUUGCGGGGAGAACAAAAAUCGCAGGUGUGCUUCCAUAUGCUCUUCCCCCUCCGCUGGUUGCUUCCAUCUCCCCCACCCUGACACCGACGCUGCCGACGCUCCUCCGCCUCCGCCUUCGCCCCUGACGCCGACGCCGACGCCGACGCCCCUCCGCCUCCCUCUCGCGAUCUCCGCCUUCGUCCGUGUCUGUUCUGACAGUAUUAUUGCUUACUGAUGUGGAGAGAGGAGCUCCUGUUUUACUGUGGUGUACUGUUGCAGAUGAGGAGGAGAAAGGACCCGUGAAUCCUUAUGAUGGCAAAGUGUAUGUUCGACGGGAUGCCAUGUCAAAUAAAGCUGCUUCAAGACUUCUCCACCAUGAGUAUCAGUUGCUGCAUGACCAGCCCACAAGAAACCAUACCCCUGGACGGAUUGCCCAAACUCACUAUCUUGAUGUCCCGAUGGAUGGGCCAACUACCAGAGUGUCAUCUAUUCAUGGAAGUGAGAAGCUGCCUAGUGUUGAUGGUGUUUGAGGUCACCGAUUGCGAGUAUGCCGUGUCUUGCAAGAAGAUAGAGAGCGAAACAGUGUUUUAUCCCCUCUGAGAGAUGAUCAUUCCCUUCAGCCGAGAGAGUCUUUUGUUAACAUUCAAAUGGAUGCUCACCAAGGAAGCCAUCCAUUUAUUGGUCAAGAAGAUUCUUCUACCCUGCUUGACAGGACAAUUUUGCAUGAUACUUCUGACCUGCAUGUCAAGAGAAAACGCAAGAUUGAAGAAGUCCAGAUCGCUAGGGAAGUUGAAGCUAAUGAAAAGUGAAUUCGCAAAGCACUAGAGAAAGAAAAUAUUUUGAGGAGAAAGGCUGAGGAACAAUUGAGGAAAGAGAUGGAAAGAUUUGAUUGUGAAAGAAGGAAGGAAGAAGAAUGGUUGAUGCGUGAACAGCAUAGAGAGGAGGAGAGAUUGCUACUUGAGAAAAGGCGAGAAUCAGAGCGACGGGAGAAGUAUUUACAGAAAGAAUCUAUUAAGGCAGAGAAAAAGAGACAAAAAGAAGAGCUUCGUCGAGAAAAAGAAGCAGAGAGACGAAAAGCUGCAGUGGAGAAGGCCACUGCUAGCAGAAUUGCCAAGGAAUCCAUGGAGCUUAUGGAGGAUGAAUAGCUGGAGCUGAUGGAAUUGGCCGCUGCAAGCAAGGGGUUGCAAUCUCGAUCAUGCCACUAUGCAGAACCUUGAGUUGUUCAGAGUAAAGGAGCUGAUUUUGAUAUCUUGAAAGAGAUAUAAAGAGACCAUUGGCAGUUCAACCAUGGACCAACUCAGAGGAGAACAUUGGGAAUCUUCUUAUGGUGCUCUGUUUGGAUGAGUACAGCAAGCGUGGCUUGGGCCAUACAAACUGCGUCCGGACGGCAACAUUUUCUACUCCGUCAUCAGCUUUGCCGGUGACUGCCUCGUCGUGGUGGGGUCCUGGGCAAUUUGGAG
This is a long non-coding RNA of Eucalyptus grandis, 1578 nucleotides long. RefSeq lists it as uncharacterized. The record is from RefSeq and is a predicted model, not a curated record. The transcript is spliced from 8 exons. NCBI's taxonomy places the organism in Eukaryota, Viridiplantae, Streptophyta, Magnoliopsida, Myrtales, Myrtaceae.